This 1385-nucleotide ribosomal RNA is filed under the name uncultured organism. Its description in RNAcentral is "16S ribosomal RNA". It matches the Rfam family "Bacterial small subunit ribosomal RNA". The record is from RNAcentral.
AGCUUGCUUUGAUACAUGGCGACCGGCGCACGGGUGAGUAACACGUAUCCACACCUGCCGACAACACUGGGAUAGCCUUUCUAAAGAAAGAUUAAUACCGGAUGGCAUAGUUUUCCCGCAUGGGAUAAUUAUUAAAGAAUUUCGGUUGUCUAUGGGGAUGCGUUCCAUUAGGCAGUUGGCGGGGUACCGGCCCACCAAACCAACGAUGGAUAGGGGUUCUGAGAGGAAGGUCCCCCACAUUGGAACUGACACCCCGCCCCAACUCCUACGGGAGGCAGCAGUGAGGCAUAUUGGUCAAUGUACGAAAGUCUGAACCAGCCUAGUAGCGUGAAGGAUGACUGCCCUAUGGGUUGUAAACUUCUUUUAUACCAGGAAUAAAGUGAGCCACGUGUGGCUUUUUGUAUGUAACGUAUGAAUAAGGAUUUACUAACUCCUUGCCUCCAGCCGGGGGUAAUACCGAGGAUCCGAGCGUUAUCCGGAUUUUAUUGGGUUUAAAAGGAAGCGUAGGCGGGGGUUGUUAAGUCAGUUGUGAAAGUUUGCGGCUCAACCGUAAAAAUUGCAGUUGAUACUGGCGACCUUGAGUGCAACAGAGGUAGGCGGAAUUCGUGGUGAAGCGGUGAAAUGCUUAGAUAUCACGAAGAACUCCGAUUGCGAAGGCAGCUUACUGGAUUGUAACUGACGCUGAUGCUCGAAAGUGUGGGUAUCAAACAGGAUUAGAUACCCUGGUAGUCCACACAGUAAACGAUGAAUACUCGCUGUUGGCGAUAUACAGUCAGCGGCCAAGCGAAAGCAUUAAGUAUUCCACCUGGGGAGUACGCCGGCAACGGUGAAACUCAAAGGAAUUGACGGGGGCCCGCACAAGCGGAGGAACAUGUGGUUUAAUUCGAUGAUACGCGAGGAACCUUACCCGGGCUUAAAUUGCAACUGACUGAACCGGAAACGGUUCUUUCUUCGGACAGUUGUGAAGGUGCUGCAUGGUUGUCGUCAGCUCGUGCCGUGAGGUGUCGGCUUAAGUGCCAUAACGAGCGCAACCCUUACGGGUAGUUACCAUCAGGUUAUGCUGGGGACUCUACCCGGACUGCCGUCGUAAGAUGUGAGGAAGGUGGGGAUGACGUCAAAUCAGCACGGCCCUUACGUCCGGGGCUACACACGUGUUACAAUGGGGGGUACAGAAGGCAGCUACACGGCGACGUGGUGCUAAUCCCGAAAGCCUCUCUCAGUUCGGAUUGGAGUCUGCAACCCGACUCCAUGAAGCUGGAUUCGCUAGUAAUCGCGCAUCAGCCACGGCGCGGUGAAUACGUUCCCGGGCCUUGUACACACCGCCCGUCAAGCCAUGAAAGCCGGGGGUACCUGAAGUACGUAACCGCGAGGAGCGUCCUAGGGUA